RNAcentral lists this long non-coding RNA (812 nucleotides) under Homo sapiens (human). RNAcentral describes it as "novel transcript". The record is from RNAcentral. Lineage: Eukaryota; Metazoa; Chordata; Mammalia; Primates; Hominidae.
AGGGAAGGGAACCCCUAAGCCACUUUGGGAGCCACAUCCACCACUUCUCUGCCCCUGACCCAGGCUGGUUCCUAGCCCUUAGGGUCCUACUGCGGACCUCCCGGCCAUAAUUAACGCAGGUGCAGGACCAGAGAGCCCCUUGGUCCCUCCCAACACAUGAGGGAACUUUGUGUGGUGAGGUCAGAUUAACUCGAAGUACCCCACAACUACACGCUAAUGAAACUAGAGGAGGCACAGCCUCAGCUCCGUGCAGGAUGGAUGCACAAGAGCAGAAUCUCCAUGGGACGCCUUUCUGGAGCAUCAGUAUUACUGCAGGAUUUGGAAGCAACAAGUUCAAAUAAUUUUCAACGUUAACACACUGGAAAUUUAAGAGAAGUCUGGAAACUCAUCUACCUUUAAAAACUGUCAGUCAUCUGUGCCUAAGUCAGACUUUCUCCAAGAAAAAAAAAAAAAGAAACUCUAAGGAGACCCUAUUUUUUAUUCUUCUAAGUAGUUAAAAUUAGAAAUCACAGCAAGUCAACAGGAAGCUCUCCUCUGCCAGUCUCCUAAAUCACAAUAUGGCCUUGUCGUGGCUGGAGUAUUUCAAAGGCUCAGUCCCACUCCAGAAUCGGCCCUGUCGCCUCCGCCCGCACUCCAGAGCCGGCUGAGAACCGCAGCGGCGCGGGAUCCACGUGCAGCGUCUCUCCAGGUCAAAGCUACCUAGAUGUCAUCAUACAAAUUACAGGCUAUGACGUCCACCUCAUUCUCUUUCUGGAAGGCUGACCUUAACUGUCCUGCACAUUCCUUACACAGCAUAUUUGCCCUUUUCCUAU